AGAAAGUAAAAGGAGUCAAUCUGGACCAUUUCCAUUCCCACUCUAACAAAAAUCUUGAUCCUAAAAGUGAUGUAUACGAUACCUGCUCUCCAGGAUGCUCUUUAGCCAAUUCAAAGCAUGAGAUUUUAUCAAGUAUUUAUCCUAAAAAUCCAACCAAUCAGUGUACACAAAAUUUCUGUCAAGAAUUUGGAAGUGUAAAUGUGGCAUCAGAGGACCUCAAUUCUGAAGAGAACACAUUAGGAAAAUCAUUUAAAAUUAUGCUGAUGAACAUUGCAGACGAAACUAAGAAAACUCAGCUCAUGAAGAGCUUGGAUUUUCUCCUCCAGUUGGUUAAAGGAAACCUAACGGGAAGGCAGAUUUGUUGACGAGUUGCCUUACAUACUAAAUGAUGAUGACUACAUAUCGAAGUAUCGAGCCAGCCUAAAAGCUGCAGUUCUCAGGGCAAAAGCAUGUUCUUGAGCUUUAUUUGAAGGGUAUGAUGUUUGCAUAUCAGCUCACGCUCAACCACCACCUAAAACUCUAUCCCUGAUAGUCAAGUCAACCGGUGGAAAUGUGAUUCAUGAGCUAGAUAAAGUAAACAACGUAUGGAAGACGAUCUUUGUGGCUUGUGAGGAAGACGUGGAGGAAGCCUUGGUGGCCGUACAAAAAGGGAUAUGGACUUUCAACGUUGAAUGGCUAAUGGCAUGUAUAAUGAGACCAGAAGUUGACCUGGAGGCCCCUCAAUUUGCUGAGUCCCUAUGAGAAACAAGGUCACCCUAACUUUCAGUUUUGAACAAGCAGCAGCCAGCCAUUUCGUCCUUGUGUAAAUCCACUCUUUUCUCAACUCACUCUAAUUUGGUACAUAAACAAACUCUGAUCGCUCCAUCUCUAUAUUCAUCAGUACAUAAAAGACGAUAAGUUUAUUCAUGGAGAAAGUUGGAUGUAAGUAUGUUUUAGGAAUGGUCCUUCAUUUAGUAACUUUGGGAAUUGUAAAAAUGAGGUAAUGAAGUUCUAUCAAGUUGAAUGUUCUUGUUUAUGUUGGAUGAGACUGAUUCUUGGAUACCAGAAUUAACUUGAAGUACGUGUUUGAGUU
This is a long non-coding RNA of Cucumis sativus (cucumber), 1072 nucleotides long. RefSeq lists it as uncharacterized. The transcript is spliced from 4 exons. NCBI's taxonomy places the organism in Eukaryota, Viridiplantae, Streptophyta, Magnoliopsida, Cucurbitales, Cucurbitaceae. The record is from RefSeq and is a predicted model, not a curated record.